RNAcentral lists this ribosomal RNA (253 nucleotides) under uncultured bacterium. RNAcentral's name for it is "partial 16S ribosomal RNA". It matches the Rfam family "Bacterial small subunit ribosomal RNA", at positions 524 to 776 of the family's 1533-position model. The record is from RNAcentral.
UACGGGGGGAGCAAGCGUUGUUCGGAUUUACUGGGCGUAAAGGGCGCGUAGGCGGCGUGACAAGUCACUUGUGAAAUCCCCCGGCUUAACCUGGGAACUGCGUCUGAUACUGGAGGGCUUGAGUGCGGGAGAGGGAUGUGGAAUUCCAGGUGUAGCGGUGAAAUGCGUAGAUAUCUGGAGGAACACCGGUGGCGAAGGCGGCAUCCUGGACCGACACUGACGCUGAGGCGCGAAAGCUAGGGUAGCAAACGGG